This 443-nucleotide ribosomal RNA is filed under the name uncultured bacterium. RNAcentral's name for it is "partial 16S ribosomal RNA". It matches the Rfam family "Bacterial small subunit ribosomal RNA", at positions 338 to 795 of the family's 1533-position model. The record is from RNAcentral.
CCUACGGGAGGCAGCAGUGGGGAAUAUUGGACAAUGGGGGGAACCCUGAUCCAGCGACGCCGCGUGAGUGAAGAAGUAUUUCGGUAUGUAAAGCUCUAUCAGCAGGGAAGAAAGAAAUGACGGUACCUGACUAAGAAGCACCGGCUAACUACGUGCCAGCAGCCGCGGUAAUACGUCGGGGGCAAGCGUUAUCCGGAUUUACUGGGUGUAAAGGGAGCGUAGACGGCGAUGCAAGUCUGAAGUGAAAACCCAAAGCUCAACUAUGGGAAUGCUUUUGAAACUGCUCAGCUAGAGUGCAGGAGAGGCAAGUGGAAUUCUUAGUGUAGCGGUGAAAUGCAUAGAUAUUAGGAGGAACACCAGUGGCGAAGGCGGCUUGCUGGACUGUAACUGACACUGAGGCUCGAAAGCGUGGGGAGCAAACAGGAUUAGAUACCCCGGUAGUC